This 867-nucleotide ribosomal RNA is filed under the name Pectobacterium carotovorum. RNAcentral describes it as "bacterial SSU rRNA". It matches the Rfam family "Bacterial small subunit ribosomal RNA", at positions 55 to 902 of the family's 1533-position model. The record is from RNAcentral. Lineage: Bacteria; Pseudomonadati; Pseudomonadota; Gammaproteobacteria; Enterobacterales; Pectobacteriaceae.
AUGCAGUCGAGCUGUACACAGAAGCUUGCUCCCGGGUGACGAGCGGCGGACAGGUGAGUAAUGUCUGGGAAACUGCCUGAUGGAGGGGGAUAACUACUGGAAACGGUAUCUAAUACCGCAUAACGUCUCACGACCAAAGAGGGGGACCUUCUGGCCUCUUGCCAUCUCAUGUGCCCAGAUGGGAUUAUCUAUUAUGUGGGGUAACGGCUCUCCUAUGCGACAAUCCCUAUCUGGUCUGAGAGGAUGACCCCCCACACUGGAACUGAGACACGGUCCACACUCCUACGGGAGGCGGCAGUGGGGAAUAUUGCACAAUGGGCGCACGCCUGAUGCACCCCUGCCGCGUGUGUGAAAAAAGCCUUCUGGUUGUAAAGUACUUUCUCCGGGGAGGAAAGUGUUGAGGUUAAUAACCUCUCCAAUUGACGUUACCCGCACAAAAAACACCGGCUAACUCCGUGCCACCACCCGCGGUAAUACGGAGGGUGCGAGCGUUAAUCUCAAUUACUGGGCGUAAAGCGCACGCACGCGGUCUGUCAAGUCUGAUAUGAAAUCCCCGGGCUCAACCUGGGAACUGCGAUUCUAAACUGUCAGGCUAUAGUCUUGUAUAGGGGGGGUAUAAUUCUAGGUGUAUCGGUGAAAUGCGUAUAGAUCUGUAGGAAGUACCGGCUGGCCGAAGGCGGCCCCCCUGUACAAAGACUGCACGACUCACGUGCGAAAGCGUGUGGAGCACACACGAUUAUAUACCCUGGUAGUCCACGCCGUAUACGAUGAUCUACUUGUAGGUUGUGCCCUUGAGGCGUGUCUUCCUGGCAGCUAACGCGUUAAGUCUGACCAGCCUUGUGGAGUACAGCCGCACGGUUAUAACUC